AUUGAACGCUGGCGGCAGGCCUAACACAUGCAAGUCGAGCGGAUGAAGGGAGCUUGCUCCUGGAUUCAGCGGCGGACGGGUGAGUAAUGCCUAGGAAUCUGCCUGGUAGUGGGGGAUAACGUCCGGAAACGGGCGCUAAUACCGCAUACGUCCUGAGGGAGAAAGUGGGGGAUCUUCGGACCUCACGCUAUCAGAUGAGCCUAGGUCGGAUUAGCUAGUUGGUGGGGUAAAGGCCUACCAAGGCGACGAUCCGUAACUGGUCUGAGAGGAUGAUCAGUCACACUGGAACUGAGACACGGUCCAGACUCCUACGGGAGGCAGCAGUGGGGAAUAUUGCACAAUGGGCGAAAGCCUGAUCCAGCAAUGCCGCGUGUGUGAAGAAGGUCUUCGGAUUGUAAAGCACUUUAAGUUGGGAGGAAGGGAAGUAAGUUAAUACCUUGAUGUUUUGACGGUACCAACAGAAUAAGCACCGGCUAACUUCGUG
This 484-nucleotide ribosomal RNA is filed under the name uncultured bacterium. Its description in RNAcentral is "partial 16S ribosomal RNA". It matches the Rfam family "Bacterial small subunit ribosomal RNA", at positions 30 to 507 of the family's 1533-position model. The record is from RNAcentral.